Molecule: ribosomal RNA, 946 nt
Filed under: Pantoea agglomerans
Lineage: Bacteria; Pseudomonadati; Pseudomonadota; Gammaproteobacteria; Enterobacterales; Erwiniaceae
Description: bacterial SSU rRNA
Rfam family: Bacterial small subunit ribosomal RNA
Source: RNAcentral
AGUCGGACGGUAGCACAGAGGAGCUUGCNCCUUGUGUGACGAGUGGCGGACGGGUGAGUAAUGUCUGGGGAUCUGCCCGAUAGAGGGGGAUAACCACUGGAAACGGUGGCUAAUACCGCAUAACGUCGCAAGACCAAAGAGGGGGACCUUCGGGCCUCUCACUAUCGGAUGAACCCAGAUGGGAUUAGCUAGUAGGCGGGGUAAUGGCCCACCUAGGCGACGAUCCCUAGCUGGUCUGAGAGGAUGACCAGCCACACUGGAACUGAGACACGGCCCAGACUCCUACGGGAGGCAGCAGUGGGGAAUAUUGCACAAUGGGCGCAAGCCUGAUGCAGCCAUGCCGCGUGUUGAAGAAGGCCUUCGGGUUGUAAAGUACUUUCAGCGGGGAGGAAGGCGACGGGGUUAAUAACCCUGUCGAUUGACGUUACCCGCAGAAGAAGCACCGGCUAACUCCGUGCCAGCAGCCGCGGUAAUACGGAGGGUGCAAGCGUUAAUCGGAAUUACUGGGCGUAAAGCGCACGCAGGCGGUCUGUUAAGUCAGAUGUGAAAUCCCCGGGCUUAACCUGGGAACUGCAUUUGAAACUGGCAGGCUUGAGUCUUGUAGAGGGGGGUAGAAUUCCAGGUGUAGCGGUGAAAUGCGUAGAGAUCUGGAGGAAUACCGGUGGCGAAGGCGGCCCCCUGGACAAAGACUGACGCUCAGGUGCGAAAGCGUGGGGAGCAAACAGGAUUAGAUACCCNGGUAGNNCACGCCGUAAACGAUGUCGACUUGGAGGUUGUUCCCUUGAGGAGUGGCUUCCGGAGCUAACGCGUUAAGUCGACCGCCUGGGGAGUACGGCCGCAAGGUUAAAACUCAAAUGAAUUGACGGGGGCCCGCACAAGCGGUGGAGCAUGUGGUUUAAUUCGAUGCAACGCGAAGAACCUUACCUACUCUUGACAUCCACGGAAU